GCGAAUGUAGCUCAUUUGGUAGAGCGCCACCUUGCCAAGGUGGAGGUAGCGAGUUCGAUCCUCGUCGUUCGCUCCA
Molecule: transfer RNA, 76 nt
Filed under: Ruminococcaceae bacterium CPB6
Lineage: Bacteria; Bacillati; Bacillota; Clostridia; Eubacteriales; Oscillospiraceae
Also listed under: 3 other names
Description: tRNA-Gly
Rfam family: tRNA
About the family: Transfer RNA (tRNA) molecules are approximately 80 nucleotides in length. Their secondary structure includes four short double-helical elements and three loops (D, anti-codon, and T loops). Further hydrogen bonds mediate the characteristic L-shaped molecular structure. tRNAs have two regions of fundamental functional importance: the anti-codon, which is responsible for specific mRNA codon recognition, and the 3' end, to which the tRNAs corresponding amino acid is attached (by aminoacyl-tRNA synthetases). tRNAs cope with the degeneracy of the genetic code in two manners: having more than one tRNA (with a specific anti-codon) for a particular amino acid; and 'wobble' base-pairing, i.e. permitting non-standard base-pairing at the 3rd anti-codon position.
Source: RNAcentral